UACAGGGGGUGCAAACGUUGCUCGGAAUUACUGGGCGUAAAGCGCACGUAGGCGGCCUUGUAAGUUAGAGGUGAAAGCCCGGAGCUCAACUCCGGAGCUGCCUUUAAGACUGCAUCGCUUGAAUCCAGGAGAGGUGAGUGGAAUUCCGAGUGUAGAGGUGAAAUUCGUAGAUAUUCGGAAGAACACCAGUGGCGAAGGCGGCUCACUGGACUGGUAUUGACGCUGAGGUGCGAAAGCGUGGGGAGCAAACAGG
This 253-nucleotide ribosomal RNA is filed under the name uncultured bacterium. RNAcentral describes it as "partial 16S ribosomal RNA". It matches the Rfam family "Bacterial small subunit ribosomal RNA", at positions 524 to 776 of the family's 1533-position model. The record is from RNAcentral.